This 377-nucleotide long non-coding RNA is filed under the name Canis lupus familiaris (dog). RNAcentral describes it as "lncRNA (ENSCAFG00000053196.1)". Lineage: Eukaryota; Metazoa; Chordata; Mammalia; Carnivora; Canidae. The record is from RNAcentral.
ACAGUUGAAGUACUAUUGUAUAAGCAACUUGCUUUCUCUCUUUUUUUUUUUAAGAUUUUAUUUAUUCAUGAGAGACACACAGAAAGAGGCAGAGACACAGGCAGACAGAGAAGCAGGCUCCAUGCAGGAAGCCAGGUAUGGGACUCGAUUCCGGAACUCCAGGAUCACGCCCUGAGCAGAAGGCAAAUGCUCAACCGCUGAACCACCCAGGUGUCCCAGCAACUUGCUUUCUCUAUAUUGGAUUAUUAUACAAGGUGCCUGAAGAUAGUGGUGAGGUUGGAGAGGACAGAGGUCACUGCCUGAGAAUGAAGGACAUUGGAAAAAGAGGCAAAGGAACUAGAGAAGUCUUGCCUUUAUCUAUUCACCUUGAAAGAGAG